Molecule: non-coding RNA, 28 nt
Filed under: Mus musculus (house mouse)
Lineage: Eukaryota; Metazoa; Chordata; Mammalia; Rodentia; Muridae
Source: RNAcentral
UGAUUUUGAUUCAGGAAGUGUCAUGGUA